Molecule: non-coding RNA, 704 nt
Organism: Macaca mulatta (Rhesus monkey)
Lineage: Eukaryota; Metazoa; Chordata; Mammalia; Primates; Cercopithecidae
Source: RefSeq, a predicted model, not a curated record
AUGCACCCCACCCUGCAGGGGAUGAUCUCAACUAGGUUCAUUAACUAAAGCCUUGACAGACCCUUCUGAUGUAAUGGUCCCUGUGAAACCCGGAGUCCCAUCUCUGGAGACUGUGAGGGAAGAGGGUUUAAGCAAUGACAAUUAGUUGGGAAUUUUCUCCUUCGUGUCAUCUCUGAGAACCAUCUGACCUCACAAUUGCAUCCUGCUGAGUCUCUUCGGCCUCUGGGCUUCUCAGCCUGGGUCUUUGCUCGGGAGAGCCUUCGCAGAACUGAAGCUGUUUCUCCAGGAGAUUCCCGUUGGAGCAAACAGUGUAAAUGGACCAAACAGUGUCAAUGGACCACAGUAGGAAAAACUAUACUGUGGUAAAUCGAUGAGUACAAGAAAAGUGAAGAAGUGAAGAGAACAAAUAUAAGUAGCUCUUUCAAGAAACUGGGCUUUGAAAUGAAGGAGAGAAAGGAGAAAAGCUGGAAAGAGACAUAGGCUCAAGGAAAGUUUCUUUGGUUUUACUGAUAGUUCUAAGGAGAAAGGGAGAAGAUCUGGAGAAAUGGAAAGAAGGACUUGCUCCAAGAAACACGCAGGAAUGGAAUUCAGUGUAUAGGUGGAGAGAUUAACUUUACAUUUUAAGAGCAAUACUUCUCCCAUUGCACCUGGAGGGAAGCAGAGAGGAUGGCUCUGGCUACAGCUACGUUUCCAAGUUUCGUCAC